RNAcentral lists this long non-coding RNA (6032 nucleotides) under Cinara cedri. The record is from RNAcentral. Lineage: Eukaryota; Metazoa; Arthropoda; Insecta; Hemiptera; Aphididae.
CAUAAAAUAUUUUAUCAUUAAUGUAAUUUGUGAAUUGUGUAUUAAAUGAUGGCACAGUUAUCUGUUUAAACUAUAAAUUCUGUAUUCCAUUAAAUUUUGUCAGUAAUUUUGUUGGUGAAGAGUAAGAAAAAAAUAUAUUUUAGUUUUAAUAGCAUCCUCGCCAAAUUUUUGCAGUAGAGUAAGUUUAAUAUUAGAUUAGAAUUCAUAUUUGUCUUAAUGUUAAAAAUAAUGAAAUAAAAUACAGAUCAACACUCAUAAUCCAUGUCUAUGGCUGGUGUGUAUCAUGGACUCACAACAGUAAACCGCCGAGCUGCCAGUUUAUAUUUAUUUAUCUUAACUUAUAAUUCACCUUAUCCACAGAGUAAAAAGUGAAUGCAUGAUAUACAAUAUGCCAAUCUGUACUUAGUCUGUUUUUACUAGUGGUUUGUUAGGCACAAAGGUUGAAAAGCUAGUAAAAUUGUGAAAUUUUAAUUUCAUUUAAAUAACUAAAAUGGAAAAAAAACCAGUUUUGUUGUUUAUUCGAGGAACUUUUGUCCGAAGAACGAAAAGAUAAUUAAUUAUUUUUAUUUAUCAAAUGAAUAAUACUUAAAUAUAAUUAAUUAAUUGAAUGGUGGUAAUAAAUCUUGUGGUUUCAAUAAAUUCGAAAUUAUUAAUAUCAGAGGAGAAGAGAAACUUAUAGCUUCAGUCGAAAAAGGUGGGAAAAUUUUACUAUAGGUUUUACGUAAAAAACGAUGAAUUAUAUGAUACACCAAAUGAGAUAUACGUUAAUAUUGGUCAUUGUGGUAAGCAUUGAAUGAACAUAGAAAUAAAAAAUAAAUAUAGGUAUUUGACUCAAAAAGGGAUACUUUCUUAAAAUUUUGCGGAGCAUGUCAAACACAAACGUCAUCUAACCGAAAAGUUCUUGUAGGUAAACCGUUUAAUCAUUCUGAAUGAAUAUUAUAGUAAAUUAAAUGUAUAUGCAUUAAACAUUUUCUUUAAAAAUAUUUGAUCAAUUUUGUAUUUAUUUUCUCGUUAUCCUGAUUUUGACAUAUUUAACUUUUUGGGAGGGAUUUGAAUAUCAUAAAAUUUAUUUUAAUAAUAUAAUAAUAUUAUUAACUAAAGUAUUUUAAUUACUUUUUACAAAAAGUAAUAACAAUUACUACCUCCUAAUUAUAGUCAUAUCAAAACAUCAAAUCAUACAAGUAAUAAUCGGCACAAAAUAGGUAUGUAGGCACCUAUAUUAUAAAAUACAUGACUAAUAUCAUACGUAAAUAUUUUGUACAAUAAUAUUAUGUUAUUAUAUGGCUUUAUGAAUAAUGCAUAGUUUAUAAUUAAUAGUAAUUAAAAUAAGUGAAAAUUUCCAUAAUUUUAGUAAUUUUCAAAUUAAAAUAAACACAAAAAAGUAAUUUUUGAUCCUGUAUCGAAUAGGCAGUGAACCUGCGGUAAUUUUAACUGCAGUAAUUUUUUCAAUUAAUUUAUCUUAGACAGUCUAGUGAAAGUGAUCACACCAUAAUAAUCUACCUUAAAUGUAGGAUUAUAGUGUUUCAAUGAUUUUAAUGAUUUCAAUAGUACAAUAUUUUAUAUUUAAACAUUUAAUAACUUUAAAUUUUAUUGUAAUAUAACUGAUUUUGUCUGAUUCAAAUCAACUUUUGUUGAAUAGGUAAUUUACAAACUUGGCUAUCUAAACCUCUAGCAAGAACAUUUGGAUAAUCAGUCAACUACUACUAUAACGUAACGUGUAGCAAUUAUUACUGGCAACUGGAAUCAUACCUAUUACUAAAUAUAUAUUGUUAAGACCGUAACGUUUAAGUGAAAUAUAUUAAAAUCAAAGCAUAAAAUUAAUUUUGUGUCUCCUAAGAAUAUCGUAUUAUUCGAGUAUCUAUUUCGGAUUUAUUGCAAAUAUGCUGUUAAAAUUUAUCGUAUCGUAUGUUAUUAUUUAUUCUUUUAUGCCGGUGUCAGUACAAGGUAUAGGCGAAGGACCGUUUUCCCCUCCACCGAAAUCUCGUCUCCCUGAUGAUCCGCAUUUCGAGGACCCUGGCACUNUCACCUAUAAUGAUACUGUGAGAGUUUAGUUAUUUGUUUCUAUUAUUGAAAACCUUAACUCCAAAAUUAAUACAAAACAAUAACUUUUAUUGUAUUUUUUAAAUUAAAUUUGUUGUAUUUAUUAAACUUAAUACGAGUCCUAGGCAAAUGAAUCAAAUUAAAAAAACAUAUUUUAAACAGUAAUUUGUUUGGAAAUGUAUAUGUAAAGAACAAAAUAUGUUCCUUAAUAUAGUAUAUUGCUUAACCAAAUCAUUGUUGUGAAAGCAAAAUUAUCGACUGAACAUGACUUAGACUUGGAUUGUUCGUCAGCGAUGGUUUACGGUAUAUAUUAAAUUAUUUAAAAGAGUGGCUACAAUAUUCCCUUUUAUCCUACGACGUCUUUUUUUUUUUUUUAUUGUAAAUCUAUAUGCUGUUACAAUUUAUCGUUUCGUAUGUUAUUAUUUAUGCUUUUAUGUUAGUGUCAGUACACGGUGAUGGUGAGUUUGGUCCCGAUUUGCCACAACAAGAUCUCCUUACAAAUCGAUAGUCCUCUGAUGGCCCUGGUAAUCCACCUGUUCCCAAUUACCAUGGCAUUCCUUCUAACAAUAAUCAGAAUACCAAUAAACCUGGUUAAUUGAGCCACUUCUCACUAUUAAAUUGUUUACACCUUCCAACCACUAGAAUAUUGGGAUGCCAUUAAUUGCAUAUGCUAUAAUAAUAAUAUAUUAUAAAAAACCUGCUUUGUUAAUUUUAUAAUAACUUUAUUUUAGAUUUAAAAAAACACUAAAAUCAAUAUUUGUCCGUACAGUCAUUGUGUAAUAUGGUUUUUAUUAUUGAUGAAAUAAAAUAAUUUUUAAUUUCUAUUUAUUUGUUAUAUUGAUUACUUUGGUCAGUUGUUAAUCUUCAUAUUACCCAUGAAGAUCCUUCGAGACAUUAGUUAUUGGUUCGUGAUAUUGAAAACCACAACUCCAAUAUUAAGACAAAACAAUUACUUUCAUUGUAUUUUUUUUUUUAAAUAAAAUACCUUUUUUUUCUUAAACUUUAUACGAGUCCUAGGUAAAUGAAACAAAUNAAAAAUACGUACUUUAAACGUUAAGUACUCUGAAAACGUGUAUGUAAAGAACAAAAUAUGGUCUUUAAAAUAGUUUAAUGCUUUAACAUUCAUCAAAUGUUUUAUUAAAAGACGUUUAUAUUUUUCGAAAAUAAUAUGCAUAUUAUACAUAACGUAUCAUAUAUAUCCAUCAUUUUCUUCUGGCAUGAGAAUUAACAUAUUACUUAGUUUGUAAUUUGGUACAUUUCAAUAAUUAAAUUUCUCGAAUUCCUACUUACUUAAAUUUUUUUGAUAGAUUAAAAGUCAAAACUUUACGUAUUUAUUUUCCCAUAGUAUGGCAGUUGUUUUUUCAUAUAGUCCAGAAAAAAUUUAAAAUAUCCUAAAUAGUUUUCUCCAAUAAUUAUACUUAAAACUAUGUGUACAAAAAUUGAAUUGAUCGACCUUUUCUGUGAAACAACUAUAUUUAAAGUUCAACCAAUAAAGUCUACUUUUUAUUGAUAUAAUUUUAUAAAUUCUGGUGAAAUACACAUAAAUAUGACAGGAUAGUUAUUAUUUUUGUUAGUUUGCAAAAAGCUGCACAAACAGAUACAUAUUAUAAAUCAUAGAAAUGUGUUGCCAAUAUUUUAUUAUUAAAUAAAUCUGCGAAUUUUUUUUUGUUUUUUAUUAAUUAAACGGUACUAAAGUACACGUUAUAUCAAAAUAUGACAAUCGUGAUAUUUGCAAAUGAAGAAAAAAAAAAUUAAUUGCAACAUUUAUUGAUUUAGUGCCUUUAUAAAGAUAAAUNCCAUUAAAUUUUGUCAGUAAUUUUGUUGGUGAAGAGUAAGAAAAAAAUAUAUUUUAGUUUUAAUAGCAUCCUCGCCAAAUUUUUGCAGUAGAGUAAGUUUAAUAUUAGAUUAGAAUUCAUAUUUGUCUUAAUGUUAAAAAUAAUGAAAUAAAAUACAGAUCAACACUCAUAAUCCAUGUCUAUGGCUGGUGUGUAUCAUGGACUCACAACAGUAAACCGCCGAGCUGCCAGUUUAUAUUUAUUUAUCUUAACUUAUAAUUCACCUUAUCCACAGAGUAAAAAGUGAAUGCAUGAUAUACAAUAUGCCAAUCUGUACUUAGUCUGUUUUUACUAGUAAUAGUUCGGCACAAUAAUUGUAAAACUAAUAAAGUUGUGAAAUGUUAUUUUUUUUAAAAUAAAUUAAAUAGAAUAAAAAACCAGUUUUGUUGUUUAUUCAAGAAACUUUUGUCCAAAAUACGAAAAGAUAAUUUAUUAAUUUUAUUUAUCAAAUGAAUAAUACUUAAAUAUGAUUAAUUAAUCGAAUGGUGGUAAUAAAUCUUGUAGUUUCAAUAAAUUCGAAAUUAUAAAUAUCAGAAGAGAAGAGAAACAUAUAGCAUCAGUCGAAAAAGGUGGGACAAAUUUACUAUAGGUUUUACGUAAAAAACGAUGAAUUAUAUGAUACACCAAAUGAGAUAUACGUUAAUAUUGGUCAUUGUGGUAAGCAUUGAAUGAACAUAGAAAUAAAAAAUAAAUAUAGGUAUUUGACUCAAAAAGGGAUACUUUCUUAAAAUUUUGCGGAGCAUGUCAAACACAAACGUCAUCUAACCGAAAAGUUCUUGUAGGUAAACCGUUUAAUCAUUCUGAAUGAAUAUUAUAGUAAAUUAAAUGUAUAUGCAUUAAACAUUUUCUUUAAAAAUAUUUGAUCAAUUUUGUAUUUAUUUUCUCGUUAUCCUGAUUUUGACAUAUUUAACUUUUUGGGAGGGAUUUGAAUAUCAUAAAAUUUAUUUUAAUAAUAUAAUAAUAUUAUUAACUAAAGUAUUUUAAUUACUUUUUACAAAAAGUAAUAACAAUUACUACCUCCUAAUUAUAGUCAUAUCAAAACAUCAAAUCAUACAAGUAAUAAUCGGCACAAAAUAGGUAUGUAGGCACCUAUAUUAUAAAAUACAUGACUAAUAUCAUACGUAAAUAUUUUGUACAAUAAUAUUAUGUUAUUAUAUGGCUUUAUGAAUAAUGCAUAGUUUAUAAUUAAUAGUAAUUAAAAUAAGUGAAAAUUUCCAUAAUUUUAGUAAUUUUCAAAUUAAAAUAAACACAAAAAAGUAAUUUUUGAUCCUGUAUCGAAUAGGCAGUGAACCUGCGGUAAUUUUAACUGCAGUAAUUUUUUCAAUUAAUUUAUCUUAGACAGUCUAGUGAAAGUGAUCACACCAUAAUAAUCUACCUUAAAUGUAGGAUUAUAGUGUUUCAAUGAUUUUAAUGAUUUCAAUAGUACAAUAUUUUAUAUUUAAACAUUUAAUAACGUUAAAUUUUAUUGUAAUAUAACUGAUUUUGUCUGAUUCAAAUCAACUUUUGUUGAAUAGGUAAUUUACAAACUUGGCUAUCUAAACCUCUAGCAAGAACAUUUGGAUAAUCAGUCAACUACUACUAUAACGUAAAGUGUAGCAAUUAUUACUGGCAACUGGAAUCAUACCUAUUACUAAAUAUAUAUUGUUAAGACCGUAACGUUUAAGUGAAAUAUAUUAAAAUCAAAGCAUAAAAUUAAUUUUGUGUCUCCUAAGAAUAUCGUAUUAUUCGAGUAUCUAUUUCGGAUUUAUUGCAAAUAUGCUGUUAAAAUUUAUCGUAUCGUAUGUUAUUAUUUAUUCUUUUAUGCCGGUGUCAGUACACGGUAUAGGUGAGCAUACUCCUGAUCUGCCGCCUUUUCUCCCUGAAGAUCCGUAUUUCAAUUACCCUGGCCCUCUAACAAAUCCUAAUUUACCUGAAAAUCCAGGUACUCCUGGUCAACCUCACCGUUAGAUUCAAAGACAUUAAAAAUCAACUUUUGUCUGUACAAUAUUUGUGUAAUACAUUUAUCAAAAGUGAUAAAAUAAAAUAGUUUUUAAUUACAGUUUAUUUGUUGUAUUUAUUUCAUGAGACAUUACUUACUCAUCAUAUCACCUAUAAUGAUACUGUGAGAGUUUAGUUAUUUGUUUGUAAUAUUGAAAACCUUAACUCCAAAAUUAAUAC